UAAGGAGAUGGUGGCACAUGGGCUGCACGAGCAUUUCCUGUCCUUCCGCAGCUAUAGGAGUUUCCGAAACCAUCUGAUGCAAUUGCUGGGACAGUCUGUUGUACCGUGCAGUCACCCAUAAAUCCAAAUAUGAUCACAAGUCUGAAAGUCAUUCACUCAGUCUAACACGGUUGGCCGCAGUAGGGUGUCAUCAGUUCAGAAGGUCACAGUAUCCAAGACGCUGAGGUUGCAGGACUCAAAUUUCAUUCAUGUACUCGGAUUAAAGACAAGCUUGAGAGAGAGUUGGUGUUUGAGGCGAUCACGCUGGAGUCGGAGCGGAUCCUACUUUUUAAGGAGUACCAGGCCUUGCUGGAGGACACCUGUAGUCACCACCACGCCAAGAGAAAGAAACGCAAACAGAAACAUAAACGAUCCCGAUCCAGAUCUACAGUACAGUGUUGGUUUUGAGGUGAUGUGUGUGUCCGAAAAUGUGCCCGGGGCACCAGGCCAAUUCAAGAGAACCAGUUCAGGAGAUUACAGGAAUGGUUACUGUGUUCUACAGUUAGACAGAAUCUCUGGAGGGAUCUAUAACAUCAUGCCCAGUACCUUCCUACCCGGCCAGGAGGGACCGUUCUUCUUAGACAUCAGCAGCUCUAGCCCUGUAACAGUAGCACAGAUAUAGUAGAACCAAUGUGAGAAAAUAGGAUGGGGGACAUCAGCAGCUCUAGUCCUUUAACUGUCACCCAGAUACAGUAGAACCAACAUUAAUGGAGGGACAUCAGCAGCUCUAGUCCUUUAACUGUUGCACACAUACAGUAGAACUAAUGUGAGAAAAAGAGAUGGGGGAUAUCUAGUUGAACAAGUGUGAAUUUGUACUUUAUAAAAUGGAUGGAUAUCAAUAGCCUCCAACUCAGAGGACUCUUGUCAUUGUGUGUUAUAUUUAGUAGAUACACUGUACGGUAGAACUAAUGUGAAUGAGCAGGCUGUAUUCAGCAGUCUUCAUGACAUGGGGGAAACUAGGAUUUCAGUUAUGCAUCAUUUGUUGUCCCCCGCUUUCGUGAAAGUAAGGGGACAUUAAAUCUCAUUCGUCUGUCCGUCAGUCUGUCCGUCCGUCACAAAAACUUUAACCUUGCCCAUAACUUUUGAUUUAGUGGAGCUAUGAUUUUCAUAUUUCACAAGUGUAUUCUUUGUGACAAGACCUUUCUUUGGGUACCACAAAAAUUUGACCUUUUGACCUUGACCUUGGA
Saccostrea cuccullata (small rock oyster) is the source of this 1226-nucleotide RNA transcript. It is a transcript of the gene named calpain-7-like, with no coding region annotated. The transcript has 5 exons. The record is from RefSeq and is a predicted model, not a curated record. Lineage: Eukaryota; Metazoa; Mollusca; Bivalvia; Ostreida; Ostreidae.